AUUUAGCUGUCUCUAAAUUAUCUUCUGAAAAGCAGUGAUUGAAAGUAGUAGACUGGAUCCUGGCUGGCGAGGACCCCUUGGGGCCUCCACGGCAGAGUUCUACGCACUGCCCCCGGCCCCAGGGUGUGUCCACAGCGCCCACCCGCGGCCUCGAAGCACCUCCAGAGCAGGUCUUUGGGAGUUAACCAGCAAACCGACCUGCAACUGCCAAAACCUCCGCCAGAGGCCUUAAAACCUAGGACCCAUCCGACGGUUCGCCUCGUCCAUGCAAGCGUGCGUUCAUCAGCCUGGCACGCGCGCACGCGACAACACGAAUCCACGGACGGCGCCCGGGGAGCCGCGCCCAGCCCGGGCUGCAGGCUGAGAACGCGCGCCCCGCUUGCCCUCCUCCUCCCGCUCAGCCCCGGCCCCUCACCAAGGGGACAACAGCUCAAUUACGAAAAGGAGCGAAAGAACCAGUUCCCGGCUCCGAGGCGCCCGCGGACGCUCCUUGGGUCCCAGGUCCCCGUCGCACAGUCCCCACCCCCACCGUCCUCAGCGCGGGGAGGGCGGGGACGCAGCGGCGCGAGGGGUCCUGGCCUGCUCCGCCGAAACAAAGCCCGCCGCGGGAUACCGCGGCCGCGCACCGAGCUGGCGACAAAGGCGAGCGGCGGGCAAGAGCCACGCUCCGAGCCUGCGCUCCUCGGGCCGGGCGGGAAGGAAUCCCGAAAGAUGGGUGCGAUUUGCACCCGCUUGUUUCUGGGUUGCAGUCUCCCGCUCCUGUGCACUCAAUGACCUGUUAGGGUGUCUCAGCAUUUAUCUCGCCUUUCCGCGCCCAUCUGCCUCUCUCCUGUUCCCUCGGUCCCUAGCCUCCUCCAUGGGGUUAGUCCUCCUCUCUCCUUCUCCCUUACUGCAUUCUCACUCUGCCCUUUUUACCUUUCCCUUUUUCUUUGCCAUAAAAAAGCAAUGCUAAUUCGACUUCUGCUGGCCGCUCUACGCGUCAAAUCGCAUUUUUCAAGGCCUUUCUGGGCAGUGCUCAGGAAGAAAGGGUGAGACAUGGGGUCCUUUUAAUUUUAGUACGCAAGCUGUACGCUAAAUAAAAUAAAACGCCAGGAGAGUGGAUCUAAAGAAGCCAAGCUCGGCCCUGAGGCCCCACACACUACCCCACUCGGGAGGAAUCCCGCGGGGGCCCGCAAAUCACGCGCCGGCGAGGGUGGAGGCCAACGGAGGACCCAAGCCUCGGCCUCUCCAAGGCAAACACUGGGGAAAGUUCUUAUCCUUCGUUCCAGCUCGGGAGGGGAACCGCUGGCCAGAUCCCUCCGAUAAAGUCCUAGUAUUUUCGAAUUUAGGAGACUUUCAUAGUGGAUGUUUUUCCAAGUGAAGUUUCACUGGGUGGUUUUGUGAUGUGAAUUAAAAAUAAAAGGACUGCUGCCCACCCCACUAGAGCAAUAUAAGAUACACCUUGACUUCCGGAGAUGUUUGCACCUUGCUUUAAUACUGAAUUAACAUUUAAUGCCUAUCAAGUGCUACACUAGGCUCAGGAUCCUUCCCUCAGGCUUUUAUUAACCAAGUUCCCCACAGAAAUUUUGGAGAGAGGGCUGAGCGUUCAAAGCAAUGCCGGACACAGAACUUUUAAGUUGGGACUAACUCGUCCGAGCUGGAACUGCAAGAAGCUAUGUGAGUUAGGUCGAUUAAAUGAUAUUGCUGCAAAUUGUGGAGUAUUUGAAGCACUGGAUACGAAUGAAUACACUGCUUUUAAAGUGAACAAUAGAAACAUAGAAACGCUUUCUAUUUCUAACACCUCUGAGGCUGGCCAGGCCUGUGGGCACCGGGGUGGGUUAGAGCCCGGGAUGCAGCUUAGCAGUGGGGUGGCAGCCGCAGCAUUCAGAAGCGGAGACCCAGCACAGCAGCGUUUGGUGGAAAUGCCCAAAAGAGCAGCCCUUGGCCUGACACACUGCAAGCUGCACCCACCUCCUCGGACAAUAGCUGGGUUCAGAUGUCAAAAAAAUCUAAUAAAAAAGAGGCACCA
Molecule: long non-coding RNA, 2008 nt
Organism: Heterocephalus glaber (naked mole-rat)
Lineage: Eukaryota; Metazoa; Chordata; Mammalia; Rodentia; Bathyergidae
Source: Ensembl